AAAUUGAAGAGUUUGAUCAUGGCUCAGAUUGAACGCUGGCGGCAGGCCUAACACAUGCAAGUCGAGCGGAAACGAGUUAUCUGAACCUUCGGGGAACGAUAACGGCGUCGAGCGGCGGACGGGUGAGUAAUGCCUAGGAAAUUGCCCUGAUGUGGGGGAUAACCAUUGGAAACGAUGGCUAAUACCGCAUGAUGCCUACGGGCCAAAGAGGGGGCACUU
This 219-nucleotide ribosomal RNA is filed under the name Vibrio parahaemolyticus. Its description in RNAcentral is "partial 16S ribosomal RNA". It matches the Rfam family "Bacterial small subunit ribosomal RNA", at positions 1 to 216 of the family's 1533-position model. Lineage: Bacteria; Pseudomonadati; Pseudomonadota; Gammaproteobacteria; Vibrionales; Vibrionaceae. The record is from RNAcentral.